UCAACCUGGGAACUGCAUCCAAAACUGAUUCACUAGAGUACGAAAGAGGAAAGUAGAAUUCACAGUGUAGCGGUGGAAUGCGUAGAUAUUGUGAAGAAUACCGAUGGCGAAGGCAGCUUUCUGGUUCUGUACUGACACUGAGGUGCGAAAGCGUGGGUAGCGAACAGGAUUAGAUACCCUGGUAGUCCACGCCGUAAACGAUGACAACUAGCUGUUGGGAAGCUAUGCUUUUCAGUGGCGCAGCUAACGUUUUAAGUUGUCCGCCUGGGGAGUACGGCCGCAAGGUUAAAACUCAAAUGAAUUGACGGGGACCCGCACAAGCGGUGGAGCAUGUGGUUUAAUUCGAUGCAACGCGAAAAACCUUACCUACACUUGACAUACUUGGAAUCUUUUGUAAUGAAAGAGUGCCUUUUGGAGCCAAGAUACAGGUGCUGCAUGGCUGUCGUCAGCUCGUGUCGUGAGAUGUUGGGUUAAGUCCCAUAACGAGCGCAACCCUUACCCUUAUUUGCCAGCGAUUCGGUCGGGAACUAUAAGGGGACUGCCGGUGAUAAACCGGAGGAAGGUGAGGACGACGUCAAGUCAUCAUGGCCCUUACGUGUAGGGCUACACACGUGCUACAAUGGGGAGUACAGAUAGACGCUAAAGCGCGAGCUGGUGCUAAUCUCAUAAAACUCUUCGUAGUCCGGAUUGCAGUCUGCAACUCGACUGCAUGAAGUCGGAAUCGCUAGUAAUCGCGAAUCAGCAUGUCGCGGUGAAUACGUUCUCGGGUCUUGUACACACCGCCCGUCACACCAUGGGAGUGUAUUGCACCAGAAGUGGGUAGUCUAACCUUCGGGAGGGCGCUCACCACGGUGUGGUCCAUGACUGGGGUGAAGUCGUAACAAGGUAACCGUA
RNAcentral lists this ribosomal RNA (894 nucleotides) under uncultured bacterium. Its description in RNAcentral is "bacterial SSU rRNA". It matches the Rfam family "Bacterial small subunit ribosomal RNA", at positions 609 to 1504 of the family's 1533-position model. The record is from RNAcentral.